Molecule: ribosomal RNA, 432 nt
Filed under: uncultured bacterium
Lineage: Bacteria
Description: partial 16S ribosomal RNA
Rfam family: Bacterial small subunit ribosomal RNA
Source: RNAcentral
AACGAACGCUGGCGGCAUGCCUAACACAUGCAAGUCGAACGAGACCUUCGGGUCUAGUGGCGCACGGGUGCGUAACGCGUGGGAACCUGCCCUUAGGUUCGGAAUAACUCCCCGAAAGGGGUGCUAAUACCGGAUAAUGUCUUCGGACCAAAGAUUUAUCGCCUUUGGAUGGGCCCGCGUUGGAUUAGCUAGUUGGUAGGGUAAAAGCCUACCAAGGCGACGAUCCAUAGCUGGUCUGAGAGGAUGAUCAGCCACACUGGGACUGAAACACGGCCCAGACUCCUACGGGAGGCAGCAGUGGGGAAUAUUGGACAAUGGGCGAAAGCCUGAUCCAGCAAUGCCGCGUGAGUGAUGAAGGCCUUAGGGUUGUAAAGCUCUUUUACCCGGGAUGAUAAUGACAGUACCGGGAGAAUAAGCUCCGGCUAACUCCGU